Molecule: long non-coding RNA, 314 nt
Filed under: Brassica napus (rape)
Lineage: Eukaryota; Viridiplantae; Streptophyta; Magnoliopsida; Brassicales; Brassicaceae
Description: long non-coding RNA (BNAP_LNC002047)
Source: RNAcentral
AAACUACGAAGCCAAGGUUGGCUUUUUUAAAUCCAUCGCUUAUCUUUUUGAGUUGUAGACCUGAAACAUCAGAGAAGACUACCAACACACAAAUAUAUUGUAAUGAGCCCAAAAAGAUAUUUCGAACAACAACCUCAUGCCGAGGUAAGUGAACCUCAUACUGAGGUAAGUGAACCUCAUACUGAGGUAAGUGAACCUCAUACUGAGGUAAAGGAAGGCAAAACAAAUGCCUAACAGCUUCGUACUGAGUUAAACAAUGACUACCAAGAAGCAUAAGGUCCUCAUACUGAGGUAAUGUUCGUGAAUGGUUUCUU